CGCUUAUCAAGAAAGGCAGAGGGAAAUGGCCCGAUGAAGCCUUGACAACCUGUUUUCCACCUCAAAAUGGAAAGUAAGGUGCCAAAUCCAGCCCGCAAACGGAAUCCGGUUGCAGGGGAGAUAAGUC
This 127-nucleotide non-coding RNA is filed under the name Flavihumibacter petaseus. RNAcentral's name for it is "SAM-I sequence". It matches the Rfam family "SAM riboswitch aptamer (S box leader)". From Rfam's summary of the family: The SAM riboswitch is found upstream of a number of genes which code for proteins involved in methionine or cysteine biosynthesis in Gram-positive bacteria. Lineage: Bacteria; Pseudomonadati; Bacteroidota; Chitinophagia; Chitinophagales; Chitinophagaceae. RNAcentral also lists the same sequence under 1 other name. The record is from RNAcentral.